CCUACGGGGGGCAGCAGUGGGGAAUAUUGGACAAUGGGGGGAACCCUGAUCCAGCGACGCCGCGUGAGUGAAGAAGUAUUUCGGUAUGUAAAGCUCUAUCAGCAGGGAAGAAAGAAAUGACGGUACCUGACUAAGAAGCCCCGGCUAACUACGUGCCAGCAGCCGCGGUAAUACGUAGGGGGCAAGCGUUAUCCGGAUUUACUGGGUGUAAAGGGAGCGUAGACGGCGAUGCAAGUCUGAUGUGAAAGCCCGCGGCCCAACCGCGGGACUGCAUUGGGAACUACCGGGCUGGAGUGCCGGAGAGGUAGGCGGAAUUCCUAGUGUAGCGGUGAAAUGCGUAGAUAUUAGGAGGAACACCAGUGGCGAAGGCGGCCUACUGGACGGUGACUGACGCUGAGGCUCGAAAGCGUGGGGAGCAAACAGGAUUAGAUACCCGGGUAGUC
RNAcentral lists this ribosomal RNA (443 nucleotides) under uncultured bacterium. RNAcentral describes it as "partial 16S ribosomal RNA". It matches the Rfam family "Bacterial small subunit ribosomal RNA", at positions 338 to 795 of the family's 1533-position model. The record is from RNAcentral.